RNAcentral lists this long non-coding RNA (402 nucleotides) under Mus spicilegus (steppe mouse). RNAcentral's name for it is "lncRNA (ENSMSIG00000007300.1)". Lineage: Eukaryota; Metazoa; Chordata; Mammalia; Rodentia; Muridae. The record is from RNAcentral.
CAUCUAGACCCGUAACGCCCACUUCAGAAUGGGAGGGAGGAUGUCUGCUGCCCUGUCGUCUCCACACCCGAGGAAUGUCCGUGUGUGUGGUGUGCACAGCGGGCUGCACACAGCGGGCUCCACGGUGCUCGAAUGGAGGCCCUAAUGUGAAUGGAGACUAGCCUGCUGGUAGAGACCUUGGCAGUGACCGCUGUGGGCAAUGAGCCAUGGGCCAACAAUAUUCAAUGCUGUGUACCUGAUGGAUGGUUACUGUCUGAGACUGAGGUUUUUUGGGCCAGGAGUAAAAGGACUUGGUUUGUACUUGAUUGCAUCCUGUGGAUGCUUGCCUACCAACUGACUCAUCCCGACGUGCCAAAGGUCCUGGCUUUCCCCUGUGUGGGUAAGGGAAGACGAGAGUUCUAA